Molecule: long non-coding RNA, 606 nt
Filed under: Physcomitrium patens
Lineage: Eukaryota; Viridiplantae; Streptophyta; Bryopsida; Funariales; Funariaceae
Description: long non-coding RNA (PPAT_LNC008314)
Source: RNAcentral
UUGUGUACGUUUGAAGAUAAGACCAACUUGUACAGCAACUCUAACAACCCCAAAAUAGCCAACAUCUAGGUACCAGAGACCCUAGAGUAUGCACCCAUAAGUUCACACGGGACUGCAGAGCCACCGAAGCACUGAAUUUCUCCCGAAUCUUUGUCAAAAUUACUACAAAGUGACAGCUUCUCACCACAUGCUUAAAAUCAUGUCCUCGAGAAACCUUCAGGAAACAUAAUUUGCGUAUACGUCAAACCCCACAUCACUUAUCCUUUGAAGGGUGAUACCAAGAAGCAGGAAAACAUACGCUGAAGCGAAGGCCAAGAUAAAGCUCCACAGAGAUUCCUAUACAUCAACAUCGACUACACCACCUUCUCAGACACCACAACAAAUACAUGUUGCAUCUGGUUCCACUUUUCGUAAGAGAUAUGCACAAUGAAUGCAGCCUCCAGAAGCACAAUUAGCACCAACCCCUCUCCGCCCCAAAAAAACUGAAAAGGGAAAAAGAGUAGGAGACGUCUUUUAAAAGAUGAAUAAUAUAAAAGAGCAGACACAUACAACCAAGAACUACACGUAGAAAGAGAAAAGUGAAAACCAAUGAAAAGAGGUACAUGU